Neltuma alba is the source of this 512-nucleotide long non-coding RNA. RefSeq lists it as uncharacterized. The record is from RefSeq and is a predicted model, not a curated record. The transcript is spliced from 2 exons. Lineage: Eukaryota; Viridiplantae; Streptophyta; Magnoliopsida; Fabales; Fabaceae.
UGCCCGAUUGGAGAAAGCGUCGAAGCUUUUAGAUGCUAUGCAAAAAUGGCAGCCAACCACUAAACUAAGAGAGGUCGGCAGAGGAAAAGAAGAAGUGAGAGACGUUGAUUGCUACGUACGUGCAAUACUUAAACUCAAUUAAGGCGAGGUGUGAGGCAACAAAAGCUGGAAUCGAAAGCCAUGAGGGCUGGCAAUGCUACCCUUAGUCAACCACCCAGGAUGAUGAUGGUGAUGCUCUGAUGGCAGGAAAGGCGAUGAUGACAGAGGAGAGGAAGAAUUUCUACACUUGAUAUAUUUAUGUCCAAUUCAGAUGUUAUUAUGCCACAUAUAUCUUCCCAUCAGCAUAUUUAGUCGCAAUGUUCUUUUUUAAGCAGUAAACGUUACUCAAUUUAAUGGCAGUGACGUUUUAAGGCCUUUUUGAAUCAUCAUGGUUAUUUUCACUUUUGAUAUUUAUCACGAUGUCUGAUGUUCUUUUUUAAUAUUAUAAUGGGUAAAUUUGUCUUUUCACCCUA